AUGUUAAGGAUCCAAAACUUGAUCCAGAGGUCAUUUAGGAUACUACAGCAGAAUCAUAUGUCCAGUCCUGGAUUCAUCACUGAAAAGAAGAAACGGAAGAACCAAAACUGGCUUAGAACGAUCCUGACUCAAUUUUGGAAGCAGAGCACCAUCGGGAUACUGUUUUCUAAGGAAGAGGCCAGAAUGGCUCUUGGAUGGGUACCUGCCACAGGCCCUUCAGUUGCUCUGGAAGUUUUUCACUGUGUAAAUAAUACUGCCUUAAACAGUCUUUUGCAUAAAGAUUUUCCCACAUUUAAAAUGGUCUGCUGGAUUCCCCUGGUGGUCCCGUGGUUAAGAGUCUGUCUACCAGUGAAGGGGACACAGGUCUUGAUUCCCAGGCAGGGAAGACACCACAUGCUUCAGAGCAGCAGUGCCCAUGCGCUUCAUCUGCUAAAGCCUGCAUGCCCUAGGCCUGGGCUCUGCAACGAGAAGCCACUGCAACGGGAGGUCCUGGAGAAGUCCCUGCUCAGAGCAACCAGAGGAAGCCUGCACAGUCACAAAGACCCAGCAUGGCAAAAAAAAUUAAUUUUAAGAAUAAAUAAAAAUAAGAUGGUGUCCUUAGUAAGGUGGUUGGACACACACACAUACACAAACACACAUACAGAUACACACACCUCAGUGUUCCCUCAAGUGCCAUGUUUUAUCCUGGGAAUUGAGGAUGGAGGCACUAAGUCAGAGGAAUUAUCUGCAUCUCAGUGCCCCGGAGCUGCGCCCGCCCUCUGGCUAGCUGUCACAGGUCUCUGUCUUAGCCGAUCACCUGGAGUGUGUGAGUGGCUGGCCAGGGUUAACAAUUUUUGGCUGUGUGCCUUGGGACAGACUAUUAUCAGCUGAUAAAGACAAUCUGAUUACUUCCAUAUUUUCCCUUUUCUACUUUUAUUUUGGCUUAUCCUUGGAAUAUUUUUUGAGCUCUAGUCUAGUCUAGUCAAAACACUCCAGCCAAUCCCAACCUCAGAGUGCAAAAACCCAACUUAAACAAUUUAGAACAAAACCUUAAGUCAACCAACAGACCUGAUUUUUCUAUUAGCCACUUCUCUGGAAAUCCUCCAACAUGCACUUUAAAUUAGGGACUGGAUUAAACCUCACUGCUGCCCACCGGGAGCUGCACCAGGAACCAGAUUUAACGACCCUCGACCAUUAGAUUCCCAGAAGUGAAAUCUGUUGGUCAAAUGGCAUGAUAAUCAUUGAGUUCUGUGUUAGUUAGGAUAGGUAUUGCCAGCUGCGAUAGAAGAGAAACUCUAAAUUCCGGUGACUUAACCUAGUAGAAAUUUAUAUCUGGUGCACAUAAAGUCUCAUCAGCAGUUCUUGGCCUAACAGCCUUCCAGGUGGUGAUUCAGGGACCCAGGAUCCUUGUCUCUUGUUGCAAUCCUCCAAGGAAGAUCUAUGGCCCCACAUCCUCUCCAUUCACCUAGUGCAUAGGGAAAGAAUACAUAGAAUUACGCAUGGGACCUGGAAGUGCACUCACCAUCUUUACUCACCUUCUAGAGGCCAGGACUCACUCAUGUGAACAUACCGGUGCGAGAGAGGCCAGGCGAGGGAAUCUAGUCGUGUACCCAGGAGAAAAGGAAUAAUCUACUACUUUUGUCAAAGACACCUACCCGUGCCAAGUGCUUUAAUACAUUACUUUGUAUGGUGGGUAUUAGAUCCCUGAUUUAAUGGAAGAGAAAACUGAGACUCAGAGGGGCAAAAUAGUCCCCCCAAGGCCACACAGCUAAUAAGUGACAGAAUAAAACUAUCUUCUACAUUGUCCGUAAUACCUUUCAGAUUUAGGUAUUUAAUCCACUUGGAAUCCACCUUUUCAUUUGCUUUAAGGUGGGGAUCCAGUUUCAUAUUUCUCCAGUUUUUCUCAAACCAUAUGGUAGAUAAUUUUUUACAACACCUGAUGCGAUAAAUCUUUUUUCAAAAGGUUUAGGCUGAUUUACAUUCUUAUUGUUGUGCAAGAGUGCCAGUUUCACUUCACCCUCUUUAACACUAGGCAUUAUUUUGAUUUUUAAAAUCAGUUCUCUUUGAAGACAGAAAAGUGGUUACAAAUUUAUUGGACUGCCAAUGAGAUUGCUUUCUCCCUUUUAUCCCCAAAUAUACUUCUUCCUUUGUGAAUUAUUUAUUUGGAUUCUUUUUUCAUUUGUCUAGUAGGGUCUGGCUAACUUCCUCAUCUCUCUCCAUACAUAUAUACACACAUACAGUAUGAGUUCUUUAUAUAAUAGAGAUAUGAUGCCUUUCCAGGCAUUUUGACUGCAUACAUUUUCCUGUCCUUUUUUAUGUACAGAUGUGCUACAUUUUUCUGUAGUCAAUUCUGUCCAUCUCUUUCUUUGUGAUCUUCUCUGAUGCAUCUAAGUUUAACCAGCCUUUUCUCCCUAGAGGUCUGAUAAAUAUUCAGAUCUUUUCCCCUCUAUGGUUUGAUUUUUUAAAAAUAUUCAAUUCUUCAGUACAUCUGGAAUGCAUUUCAGCCUGUGGUAUGAUACAAAAGGUUUAUAAUUUGCAAGAGGAGGGAGCCUCAUUUACACUUGCAAGUUUCCUUCUCUCCCU
This is a long non-coding RNA of Bos grunniens (domestic yak), 2562 nucleotides long. NCBI's taxonomy places the organism in Eukaryota, Metazoa, Chordata, Mammalia, Artiodactyla, Bovidae. The record is from Ensembl.